GACACGGCGGAGUGGCAGUGAGGGCUUCAGGUGAGAUCCUCUCUAUUCUCCUUCAUCCCUCCCUCAAAAUCCUUGAUCUAUUCCAUGAUCUGAUUGUCCCUCCAAUCUCCUUCCUCAUCUCCAUCGUAUCUCGAUCACAUUCCGAUUGGGUUCCCCCUGAUGCAUCGAUCUCACAGUGUGCUUCCGUCAAAGUUUUGCCCUAAAAGCCUUCCCCACUUCCGCCACGGCCACUUCAUCCAGGGAAUCACAUAGGAAAGAGUCAAUUAUUAUACUGUAUCAAUCAAGUUUAUUGGGGAUAAAUAGAGAAAGGUUGAAUUGUCUGCAAAUCAAAUUUCUGUGUCACUCAUAGGAUCAAAAUUUAUAAUAUACAAGUUGCGAUUGAUUGAGCCAAAAGUGAAAUGAAGAGGGAACGACGACAGCAGCAGUAGAGAGGCUUCGAUCGCAUGCAGGUUGCGGAGUUAGGCCUGGAUUCUGUGGACACACUAAUAUUUACGUCUAGGCAAUAUACUGAUACUGAUUUUUGUUGUCCUCCAGAUAUUCCCGCUCGAUGAGGGACUCAACCCUCUUCUUGAUCACGGCAGGAUCGGGCAGGACGCGCGGCUGCAGCUGCUUGGCGACCUCUGUGACGAGGCUAUUGAGAUUCAACACCCGCUGGGCUUUCAUGACCCUGAUAAUGGCAGCAUCGAUUUGAUCUUUCCUGGCUUCCUCCACUUUUUGGCGAAUCUCCUGCUGCUCCGACUCCGACUCCUCCUCUGCUGCCGCCGUAUCUAUCUUAACUUGGAACAAGUUGCUUGUGAAAUUGUCAUUGACGCAGAAAACAUCAUCCUCUGCGAUAACAUUGUUCGUCGGAUUCUUACAGAGCACAUUCAUGUCCGGAACACAAGCAAGAGACCAAAGGCACCGCUUGAGAUCCGGCAACGGCAUCGCAGUUGCUUGUUGGAUGUCCUUGCAGCUCAA
This 957-nucleotide long non-coding RNA is filed under the name Musa acuminata (dwarf banana). Its description in RNAcentral is "long non-coding RNA (MACU_LNC000761)". The record is from RNAcentral. Lineage: Eukaryota; Viridiplantae; Streptophyta; Magnoliopsida; Zingiberales; Musaceae.